UCAACUUUUUCUUCUAAUGUCAUGACUUUUUUCUGCUUCUUGGGAGCACCUCCAGAAUCACUAGUGGCACUUCGUAGGAGUCUCAUUAUGCAGAGUUUAAGGUACUGCACUAAACAUGAUGAAAAAUAUGUGAGAACCUCAAGAGAUUACUUUUUACUUCUAUGUGCAAUUUCCUGGAGAGACAAUUGCUCACGCGGAGAUGAUGAACAUCACUUGGUGUUUUAAGCAGUACUCGCAGCUCUUGAGCUUCACCACAAUAGCAACAGGAGGUGACUACAAAAUUGUUACAGUAGUACAAUAUCCACUACAGUUGAUUUAUGUUGAUUUACAUUGCUCAUCUGUAAAUGGUGCCACGUAUGGUCUGUAUGUGUAUGUAAGUUUUGGUAAAUUUUAACUUUUUAUAAUAGAUUUGUGUAUAUUUUAUGGUAGUAAAUGAUAAAAAUAGACUAGUUUCUACAUAUAUUUUAUACAUUCACAACAUACCUAACUUUUUCUUAAUUCUUUUGAUAUUUCUAGGCUAUGUGGUUCAUCUGAGCUUUUUCAAAUUUUCACACAUCUACAAAAAAUUUUGCAACACAAUUUAUUGAAAAAAAUCCAAAUAUAUGUGGACCCAUGAAGUUCAAAGUCAUGUUAUUCAAGGGUCAACUGUGUUUUAAUUUUUACUAAGUCAGUGUGGUUUUUCAGAAUUUUCACCAUGAUGUUUUAUAACUUAGCAUUUCUUUUGGUCGUCCCAGUAACUUUUGCUCCCAUUUUCUACAAGUAUUUCUUUUUUAAAAAGGCAAAAUGACAUUCAGUUUCUUAAUGUCUCACCAUGUACCUUCAUAACAUUUGAAGAGCAGCUUAUCUGAUGAGUGCUGAGAGGGCAAAGGCAGUGGGCACUGAUUUCCCAUGAAGUUCGUCUCUUGUUGGUACUGCCAGUUCCCACAAUCCUAGCAUUCUCUGGGCAUCAGUCAGUGUCUACAAAAAAGGAUUUUCAAAUAUUAAAGCAUGUGAAAAGACAAACAGGCCAAAACUCAGAGCUCUCUAGGGACUAUGACCUCCAAAACAGACUCCAUUCUGACAUUUUCACAGGCUACUUGAAGGAAUUCCAGCAGGGUUGUUCCAUUUGGUAAACUCCUAAACAAACCCUCUGUCAUCGAGGACUGAUUUAUAGAAUUUUCUCCUUAUGUGCUUGUUCUGAAGAGAUUAAGACAGUAGAUAUGGUUGCUGAGACUCUUUUAAAAGUCAUUUGAUAUAUAUGAUAAGUACUAUACAGAAGAUUUUUGGUAUUUUGAAGUAAUAAAACAGUUAUUUGUAAUGUUUAAAGAGAUUUUGUGUUCUGAGUUGUCUUCUAAGUUCUUUUUCUUUUUGAUUCCAGGAAAUCUAUGUCAUAAUCACAUCUCUAAGUUUUUUUCAUUAUAAACCCAAUCAUUUAACAAAGAAAUUGAAUAAAUUCAGAAAUUAUCUUUGUAUAAACAAGUAUGUUAAAAAUGUUUAUGCAUAUAUAUAAAUAUAUACAUAUGAUAUAUAUAUAUCAUAUGUUUUACAAUGACCUUUAGAAUAUGUGAAACAGAAACAGUUCGGGUGUUAUAGAAUAUUCUUCUGUGAAAUCUUGGUGUAAUGGCAGCUGUUUAGAUGAUGCUGUAAGGUCACUAGAGGGGGUGGAUCUAUAAGUUGUUUUUCAAUUAAUCUGGAUCCUCUUAAAAUAUUUUAUUGUGUAUUUUUAUGCAUUUCUUUUUUUAAAAAGAAGAAUAUAAUGCUAAAAAUAAAGGAGAAGGGCAGAACCCAAGAGAUUUGGAGCCUGGAGAACUUAAGGAAAUGGGUAGUUGGGAUUUAUUUGGCUUGUAGUUGUCCUUAACUGCUAACAGCCUCAUGGUGGUCUCAUCUGAAGUCUGUGAGUGGCAUGUAUGAAAUUCCAGGGUGAACGGCAUUCCACAUUGGGAGGACCAGGUUUGUUGGGGAAUUUUUGUAUGGUUUGUUUCCUUCUUCGUGUGUUUCUUUUUAAUCCUUUAAAUGAAUUCUUUAACUGAAUUAACAGAGUUUUAACUGCUAAAUGAAAGUCCUAUACAAUCAAAAAUUUCUUAAGAUUUGAUAUCUGAUUCUGUUGUAGGAAUGUAAUAUAUUUUGGGAAUGAGUUUAAAAAUGGGACACAGGCAAGUAAAUUGAUUUAUGAUGCUUUCAACCAAGCUUCACAAAAUUAGUACUAAAAAUAAAAUUCAUGUUAUCAUAUUCUAAUAACCUGUCAUAAACCUAGCAUAUUUUAGGUCUCCUUAGUGGAAAAAAAAGAAAGGAAAUGAAAGUGAAAUAAUAAAUUGCUUAAUUGGUCAAAAUUAGUUAUUGAGUUCUUGGCUGUACUAGAGAAUUGUGUGGCUCUUGAUUGAUGUUUAAAAUAUAAAUAAAAUGUGUAUGCUGAAAAAG
Molecule: long non-coding RNA, 2397 nt
Filed under: Pan troglodytes (chimpanzee)
Lineage: Eukaryota; Metazoa; Chordata; Mammalia; Primates; Hominidae
Description: lincRNA
Source: RNAcentral